RNAcentral lists this long non-coding RNA (3094 nucleotides) under Canis lupus familiaris (dog). Its description in RNAcentral is "lncRNA (ENSCAFG00000053940.1)". Lineage: Eukaryota; Metazoa; Chordata; Mammalia; Carnivora; Canidae. The record is from RNAcentral.
GGUGACCCUGGUUCAGGGUCUCUCCUGAGGUAGGGUGCAUGACUUUGGUCCAGGUCUCUCCUGAGGUAGGGUGGGGGACUUUGGUCCGGUGCUCUCCUGAGGUACGGUGGGUGACUUUGGUCCAGCGUCUCUCCUGAGGUAGGGUGGGUGACUUUGGUCCGGGGUCCCUCCUGAGGUUUUGGUCACAUACUGUCUGGGCUGCAGUCCUUUGAGGAUAUGACCAGCUGGAGAGUCCAUUUCCAAGGACUUUUGUAUGUGUCUCCCUCACAUGGCUGGCUGCUGACCAGAGGCCUCAGUCCCUGUCAGGGCCUCUCCACCAGGCUCUUUGAGCAUCCCUGCUGCAUCCUCUAGAGUGAGCAUCCCAAAAGAGCCAAGCAGAAGCUCCCGAGCCUUUUAUGACCUGGUCUCAGAAGUCACAGCAUUACUUCCACCAUAUUCCAGUGGUCACACAGGCCAACCUAGAUUCAGUGUAAGAGCAGGCUACCCAAGGCCAAGCAUACCUGUACCAGAAGGGAUCACGAGGUCAUCUUGGAAGCUGGCUAGGACCUUGGAGGGAGGAGCCCUAUGAGACCAAAGCUUGGAUUUUUAAAGUGGGGUUGUUUGUUUUUGAGGGGCACCUGGGUGGCUCAGUCAGUUAAGCAUCUGCCUUUGGCUCGGGUCACGAUCCCAGAGUCUGGGAUCGAGCCCAUGUGUCAAUCUCCCUACUUAGCAGAGAGUCUGCUUCUCUCUCUCGCCCACCCCACUCAUGCUUUCUCUCAAAUAAAUAAUCUUUAAAAAAAAUAAAGUUUUAGGGUGAGUGAGUGGCUCAGUCGGUUGGGCAUCUGCCUUCAGCUCAGGUCAUGAUUCCUGGGAUCGAGUCCCAUGUUGGGCUCCCUGCUCAGUGGGGAGUCUGCUUCUCCCUCUGCCACUCCCCUGCUUGUUCUCUCUCUCUCUUUCUCUCUCAAAAAUAAAUAUAAAUAUUUAAAAAUAAAUGAACUUUUAAGAAAUAAAGGUGUUUUUGGGGGGAGGGAUUGGAGAGCACACAAGCAGAGGAGGGGCAGAAGGAGAGAGAAUCUUAAGCAUGUUCACACCCAGUGCAGAGCAUGACUCAGGGCUCGAUUUCACCAUCCUGCGAUCAUGACCUAAGCCAAAAUCAAGCCUAACGCUUAACCGACUGAGCCACCCAGAUGCCUCUGCAGUGCUUGGAUCUUUGAUGUGUGUUGGCAGGAGGGUUGGAUCCUAAGCAGUUGAUGCUGGAAUUUCUAAGAAGGUGGGUGCAGAAAUGGUAGUGCUGGAGCCAAAAAUCUGCCCCUGCUGACUGUGCAGGAGGGCACAAGAAAGUCCCUUCCCUUUUUGCACUUCCAGGUCUCCCCCAGGUGGCCCCUAUUAGCAGGCCAACCUUAACAGGAAACCGGCUGCCAGGGAAGCCUGGGAAAUGUAGUUUUCAGCGGUCCAACAACAGCAUCACAGAAAGUGGGAGGGGAGUGGGUUUAGGGCUGAGACAGGGUAACUAGCACAGUCCACCCCAUUAGCUACCUGUCACCCAUACACAUCUUUCUACCAUAAUAAUUAUGGUACUCUUAACAACUUCAGGCUACCCCCAACUAGGAGCAAGGAUCCUUGUGCCUAGACACACCCUUCUCUUCCUAAAAGGGAGGGAUAGCAGCAUGCUAGAGUCAUAUCCAUCACUCAGAUUCCACUUGCUUGUUCCAUAACUAAAAUAGUGAAGUUCACCACCAAUAUCAUCAAAACGUUUACAUCAAAUAAGGGAAGGGAGGGUAGGUAGCUGAUGGACACACAAGCAAAGAAGAAAAUAUCCAGAGUUGCUGCAGCCCGUACUUCCAGAACUGGUUCUGAUGUCUUAAUUGGUUUUUAACACUUAAAAUGAGACACAAUUCACAUGCAAGUCACCUACUUCUAAAGUAGUUUCUAUGUCUUCAGAGCUGUGUGACCAUCACCAGUUUAAUUUUAGAACAUUUUCAUUGCCCGGAAGGAGAGCCUAUGCCUAUUAAGUCAUCUCUAAUACCCCACACACAUAGUUCAUCCGUCCCCCAGCCCUAGGCAACCCCUAAUCCGCUUUCUGUCUCGGGAGAUAGAUAUGCUUUGGUCAUUCAAUAUCUAGUCUUCUGUGCCUGAUCUUUCAGUAUAUUUUCAGGGUUCAUCCAUGUCCUAGCAUGUAUCAGUGCUUAAUCCCUUCUUGUACAGAAUAAUGUUCCAUUGUAUGGAUAUACCACUACUUAUCUGUUCAUCAGUUGGGCAUGUGAUCUGUUUCCAUUUAUUGGUUCUUAUGAACAAUGCCACUAAGAAACUUGGUGCAUGAGUUUUUGUGCAAAUACGUUUCCAUUUUACUUGGCUAUAUGUUCCAGAAUUUUGAGGGAACUUCCAAAUUGUUCUCGACAUCAGCUGUGCCAUUUUACAUUCCUACCAGCAAUGUGUGAGGGUUUCAACUUCUUCUGUCCUUGCUAACACUUAUUAUUGUCUGUCAUUUUUAUUACAGCCUUCCUUGGAAGUGUGAGGUGGUACCUUGUGGUUCUGAACCGCAUUCCCUUAAUGACCAAUGAUGUUGAUCACCUUUUCAUGUGCUCACUGGCCAUUAGUGUAUCUUCUCUAGAGGAAUGUCUGUUCAAGUCCUUUGCCCAUUUUUAUUUUUUUAAGAUUUUAUUUAUUUGACAAAGAGCACAAGCAGGGGGAGCAGCAGGCAGAGGGAGAGGGAGAAGCAGGCUCCCCACAGAGCAGGGAGCUCAACGCAGGGCUCAAUCCCAGGACCCCAGGUUCAUGAGCUGAGCCAAAGGUAGAUGCUUAACCGAACCACCCUGGCAACCCUCCUUUGCCUAUUUUUAAUUGGAUUAUCUCUCUUUUUAUUAUUGAGUUGUAAGUGUUCUUUAAAUAUUUCGGGUACAAAUCCCUUAUCAGACACAUGAUUUGCAAAUAUUUUCUCCCAGUCUGUGGUUGUCUUCUCACUGUCUUGAUAGUGUCCUAUGACGUAUGGAAGUUUUAAAUGUUGAUGAAAUGGAUGGAUGGCUUAAAAGACACAAACAGCUAAAACUCACCAAAGAAGAAAUAGAAAAUGUGACUGAUCAUUUGCCAAAUGAACUAAAUUUAUAGUUUAAAACCC